RNAcentral lists this long non-coding RNA (2136 nucleotides) under Cotesia glomerata. RNAcentral's name for it is "uncharacterized LOC123269881". The record is from RNAcentral. Lineage: Eukaryota; Metazoa; Arthropoda; Insecta; Hymenoptera; Braconidae.
CGUGGAUGUGGAAGGCAGGAUUCAAAUGAAUAUCCUAGCGCUAAUCAGUACUACGGAAUUGAGAUGAAGUGCAUUCUUUGCACCAAAUCGUGCCGUAACUUCAGUGUUCGUUGAUGUUCGAAUAGCUAGCGUAUACUAUUACAGAUCCUUUGAGAUUGAUGUUCGCUGAUAUAGAUAUUUACGCUCCCAGGGAGGAAAGUAGGACAUUUCAAACCGCGUGUUAAAUAGCCUUCUGAGACAAAGACGAGGGUGGCAAACAUACGGAUUGGGAUGUCCUCUUUUUCUUGCUGGUGCGUGUCAUAUUUUCCGUCAUAUUUGUAACCAAAAGUUUUAAUUUUGUGCCAUUGUUUUUUUAGGAAGGUUAGUGCAAAUGUCAAGCUGUUUAUUUGUAUAUGAUAUUUCAUAAGGUAAGAGUCGCAUUUCUUUUCCACAAAAUAGGGCAGAAAGUUUUAACAUUCAGUGCAGAUAUGAUGAAAAAUAGAACAUAGUUGUCUUAGUUUAAGAUAUAGACAUAGGGGUAGGUAGCAUAAGAGGGUAGGUGGUAUGCCUCAAGUUCGUAGCUUAAAACGGGUAAACACUAUAAACAAAACGAAUAAUGUGUUGAAACAAUAGAUGUAAGUUUUAUACAAUAAAUAUAACGUUUCUUACAACUGAUGUUUUAUUUAUUCAUUUAAUUAUAUAACAACACAAUAUUAUCAGAUAGAAGUAAAACUAGUCACGAAUACACGAAUAUCAUUCCUUAGCUAAUUGAUAACUCAGGAUGUAUUCUAUUCUUAAUUGUUUGCCGUGCGUCAUUUUAACAACUUGAAACUAUUAUCACACCCCAAGUCUAUGAAACAAUAUUUGCGCAUACUUUAUUCAUCUACUUUAGUAUACAUGACAUAAUAUUGUGCAAACAAAAUUAUAUAUACCGCCUUUACUUGAUCUAUACGUCCGAUAUCAAUAAAAAUUCCAUCUAUUGUCUUUUUUAAAUUCCUUGAUUAAAUGAACGUAUGAGGUGUGCACUCUUGGAUUCUUAAAAAUGUUUUUGUCAUUAUCACAACACAGUUUUUAUCAUAAAUUAUCACACAAACCAUAAGAACUAGGCCUAAAAGUUAGUGAUAUUCUUCCUAAAUAGCCAUUUUAUCUCAGACCCUGGCCAUUGAAUUAGGAAGUUUUCCGACGAAAGCGUGCGGUGCUUGGUGAGACGCAGCAACUCCGAGAGUUCGAUCUGAAGAUAGUACUAGAACAAAAAAUUUAAAGUUAAAGCAAAAUUAGGGUAAAGAGAAGGAUACGCAAAAUCUGUGAGAGAGCUAACUCACUCCUAAAAGGCUGAUUGGAAGCUCCGAGUCAUCAUGGGGCAGUCAGGUUGGCAAUUAUAUCAUCCGUUAGCCAUCUACAGCCGUAAAGUACAAUUUCCGCAAUUUCCUUCUUUUUGUCGUCCUAGUUGAACACUUAGAACAGAUAUUACUAUCGCAUCACAGCACAGCAAUUACUGAAUCCAAGGUCACGAAGUUUCUGGUCAUCUCCAAUCACUAGAAUGUAUUUCCAGGCAUGAAGUAAUAAUUUGACGAACUGCCAAUUACUGUUUCAAUUUGGCCAAAUUGGAGAAUCAAUAAAUGGCCUCUUUAGUCAGGCCAAUCAAUUGAAGGAACUAUUUUGACACUUGAUUGAAUGCGGUCAAUGAUCUAUUGUGGUAACAUCACAUUUGGGUCAACUAUUCCACUUAUGUCAGCAACGGACAAUCAAUCUCACAAAUUGUCAGAAUUUAACGUAUAUUGACAGCAUCAAUUAUUACUAUCCACAGGUCCUUUAUAAGAAUAUUACUAUUGAAAUAGACUGGUGUCUUAUUUCCAGUUAUAUUGCGAAAUGCAAUCAAUUUCUGAUCCUGACCGAUAAGACUUCCUUUCAACUCUGUACCUGAUGUUUGCUUUUCCUGGAGUACAGUAGCGAUUUUUCUAGCUUUUUCCAACUUUUCUACAGUUCUGGACGGCUCAGUCGCUUCGGCAUUGACGGAAACUUUCGAACUUAUCUUUUUAAUUAUAUGGUUUUUAAGAGGUUUAUUUCUACUCAUUAUUUAAUCUUUAACAGGGGACAUAAACUCAGGAGACUUUAUUACAUAAAACUGACUAAACUCACGGUUAGAAUAUUCAAAGA